Non-coding RNA from Microcebus murinus (gray mouse lemur), 2416 nucleotides. Lineage: Eukaryota; Metazoa; Chordata; Mammalia; Primates; Cheirogaleidae. The record is from RefSeq and is a predicted model, not a curated record.
GCGGCCACAUCCGGUCCUGACUAUGGCCAGACUGUGUGUCCUGCAGGGGGCGUCCUGGCUGUGCCCUAGACCGGGGCGGAACCUGGCACCCCCGCCCGCGUUGUAGCACUUUCCGGGUUCCGAAGUAGUGGCUGACGGUGCUGCCAGGGGAGAGCCAGGCGUGGAACGGCCACAGCUGUCGGAGAGCGGCCAGGAAGGAAGCCGAGGUCCUUUGCGAAAUGUUGAGGAAUAAGCGACGAAAAUGCCAGACAAGAUCCUUGCCCUCACCGAGUUCCGGGAGGGAGACUAACAAACAGAUAAAGGACACGUGCGUUAAUGUCAAGUAGUGACAAAUGCCAGAAAGAAAGGAACUAGCUGAAGCCAUAGAGCAUGGUAGGAACUUCACUGUCAGGGAAGGCCCCUUCGAGGAGGGUUAUUUAAGCUGAGGCUUGAAGACUGGGAAGAAACCUCUACAGGGAUUGACAGGGAGAACCUUUGAAGCAAAGGGACCAGGAGAAUAAAGGCCUCGCCAUGAGGAGGAGAUGGACGUUCCAAGAGGCAACACCAGUGGGGAAGAACGUGGGGUCCUCCAUGUGCCACACUCGCCACUCCACAAGGCCCAUGGAAGUUGUACAGAGGAUCCAUCCUAGGAUGCCGAUAGUGAAACCAGACACUUGGUGAUUGGGGCCAUUGAUGAGCAGAGUCAUGGUGGCAGCGUGCCCAGGGUAACUGCAACGACACAAGACAUGUUGGUUCCAUGGAAUGGUUAUUACAAAUAAUGCUGCGAUGAACAUUUGUAUAUAAAACUUUGUGUGGAUAUAUGCUCCUGUUUCUCUUGUGGAAUACCUAGGGGUGGAGUUGGUGCUUCACAUGGUAAGUGUGUAUUUUUUCAAAAUUGCUAAACUGUUUCCCCAGUGGCUACACUAUCUUACAUGGCCAUUAGCAGUGUAUGAAGGCUCCAGUUUCUUCUCCAACAUUUGUUAUUUUUAGUCUUUUUGACAAUAACCAUUCUAGAUAACAUUAUAUGUUACCAAAACGAAGGUGUUCACAGUAUAUCAAGUAUCAACAGCAUGUUACAAAAUAGGAUGCACAAUACAUCACAGAUACGAGUUGAAUUGGAAGGCUGUAUGCUGAAUUACUAAGAGAAAUUUCCAACUGUGUUCGAGGGAUUAUAACUUUUUAAAGCUAUUUGUAUUGUGAAGAAUCACAUACAUAUAGGAAAGUGUAGAAGGUCUACGUGAACAGCUCAAUGAAUUAUGACGGGGCAAACACCCAUGUAGCCACUACUUAGUUUAAGGUAUGCAGUAUUUCACUUCCUGAAUCUAAAAUGCAGGUAACAAAACCAUAAGUAUAUACAGUAAUAUGAUCUGAUUUUUGCUAAUAACAUGUGCUGGGAAGAUACAAAACAAGAUACAUCUGAAUACUGGGAUUACUAAUGAUUUUUCUUUUUCUGUUUUCAGGUUAAAGACUAUUACUUUUUUACUUGGAAAAAAGGGUGGCGCAUACAGAGAUACAAGCAGAGAAAUGUACUUGUUAGUGACUAUCAAGAGCAAUAAAAACAUGGGUGUCUUCCAACCCAAUCUCCCACCUCUUGGAAUCAAUUCUAGGGGACAAAUCAGACAGUGUGAUCCAAGCGCCUGGGCAGUGAUGAUCACAAGCAGUGUGAUUGAUACUAGGGCUUGCCUUUCAGGUACUCCACUCCUAAUCUCUGUCACCCCAAGCCAGAAGAAUAACCCACCAGGUGAGAAACCCAGGCCAAUAUAGACAUUUAUGGACUGACUGACCUAGAUGAGGGGUCCUCAUAGUCCAAAGCCUUGUAUUUCCGGGUGCCCCAAAACCCUCCAGUUGAAGGUUCUAUUUCCAGCUACAUCCUAUCUGCUCUCAUGCCAUUGAGGCUGACUUUGGUAGGCCAGCCACUUGCAAGGUUUUAACAUCUCAACCUAGAAUUUUCAUUUGAAAGGUGAGAACAAUCUUGAUUUUUACCUUUUUUUAAAAAGCAAGUACUUUUAGACUGACAAAAAAAUUGCAAAAUAAUACUGAGAAUUCUUCUAUACCCUAAUCCAGCUACUCCUCAUGUUAUGAUCUUACAUAACCAUGGUACUAUUAGCAAAACCUGGAAGCUCUUAUUUCAAUUGCACCAUUUUCCCCAUUAAUACCCUUCCUUUCUCUGGUCAAGAAACCAGUCCAGGAUCUCACAUUGUUUUUUUGCUCUGUCAUCCAGGCUAGAAUGCAGUGGUGUGAUCAUAGCUCACAGCAACCACAAACUCAUGGGUUCAAGCGAUCCUCCUGCCUCAGCAUCCUGAGUAGCUGGGACUACAGGCGUGUGCCACCCCACCCAGGUGAUCUUUCAAUCUUUUGUUAGACGGGGUCUCCCUCUUGCUCAAGCUGGUCUUGAACUCUUGACCUCAAGCGAUCCUCCCAACGUGGCCUCCCUGAG